Molecule: ribosomal RNA, 253 nt
Filed under: uncultured bacterium
Lineage: Bacteria
Description: partial 16S ribosomal RNA
Rfam family: Bacterial small subunit ribosomal RNA
Source: RNAcentral
UACGUAGGGAGCAAGCGUUGUCCGGAAUCAUUGGGCGUAAAGCGCGCGUAGGCGGCUCGAUCAGUCUGUUGUGAAAGUCAAAGGCUCAACCUUUGAAUGCCGAUGGAUACUGUCGAGCUAGAGUCCGGAAGAGGCGGGUGGAAUUCUCGGUGUAGCGGUGAAAUGCGUAGAUAUCGAGAGGAACACCUGCGGCGAAGGCGGGUUGCUGGGCCGACACUGACGCUGAUGCGCGAAAGCCAGGGGAGCGAACGGG